GGGAAUAUUGCACAAUGGGCGAAAGCCUGAUGCAGCAACGCCGCGUGAGUGAUGAAGGCCUUCGGGUUGUAAAGCUCUGUCUUCUGGGACGAUAAUGACGGUACCAGAGGAGGAAGCCACGGCUAACUACGUGCCAGCAGCCGCGGUAAUACGUAGGUGGCAAGCGUUGUCCGGAUUUACUGGGGGUAAAGGAUGCGUAGGCGGAUACUUAAGUCAGAUGUGAAAAUCCCGGGCUUAACUUGGGAACUGCAUUUGAAACUGGGUAUCUAGAGUGCGGGAGAGGAAAGUGGAAUUCCUAGUGUAGCGGUGAAAUGCGUAGAGAUUAGGAAGAACACCAGUGGCGAAGGCGACUUUCUGGACCGUAACUGACGCUGAGGCAUGAAAGCGUGGGGAGCAAACA
Molecule: ribosomal RNA, 400 nt
Filed under: uncultured bacterium
Lineage: Bacteria
Description: bacterial SSU rRNA
Rfam family: Bacterial small subunit ribosomal RNA
Source: RNAcentral